CAAAAAAAAAAACCAAAGGAAGUAAAAUUAGCAUAUUAAAUGUGAUACAGCAACCAGAUUUAGUCUGGCUAACAGGAAAUGCAUUUGACUACAAGGUCAAAUUCAUGUGGUUGAAAUCCUAUCAAGAGCUAAUCAAGAAACAAGACACCUGAAACAAAUGAUUGUAAUUGGCUUCAUUGAAUCUUUGAUGAACAAGCCUACAUGCUUUGUGUGUUUUUUAUGAACUGUUACCAAUCAGUAUAAAUCACUCAAACUCAAAUCAGAAACUCAGAAGGAAAGUCAAUUUACACUAACCUUAUGUUCUCGAUGAACUCACUGCAUUUUAAUUUUUGCAGUGUGUAUAUAAUGAUGCAAAAUAACCAUAUUAUUCUCUGCUGACUGCAACCAAAAUGCUGCAAGCAUUCGUUAAUGAAAUAUGUGAAAUUAGCACAUCCUAAUAAGCACAAUGUAAUUUGCAUAAUGUUGAUUGAGGUUUAUUAGCUUUCAUAUAUUGUUAGCAUCCUAAGAGCAAUGUUCCAUUUAUCCAUUUACUGAUGGACUGUUCUUGAUCAAAACAUCUGAACAAAUGGAACACACCUUUUUUGGAUUUAGGUUUAAUACGAAGCACAUUUGGCAGAAGGAGGGAAUAGACUUCUGAGGAAGAGUGCAUUCUUGGAAGCCAAAGCUCAAGAUCGAUUAAUGGUGAAGCAGAUUACAUGCAGGCAGUGUGAGGGAAGGUGGAUAGAAAGGGAUGCACUCUUUCCUCAAACCAUCACUGCAUUCGCUUUUAUUGUCUUCAAAGUCUGAAGCCCAACUUUCAGCAGGGUUAAUUAUCUUCCAUGUGAUUUUACUCAUGAUUUUGGCAUUUUUGCAGUUCCUAGUUAGCAUUUCCAUAGUAUACUCCAUAACAGCGUGAUGUCCUGCAAAUCCCUGUCUUUUACAGACAACCCCAGUAAACAAAAUGAAAUAUAUUAUUGUUAACUCAUAAAACAAAAUGUUCCAUAAAUGCUUUUAUUCCAAAGCCAUCUGUCAAUCAGCCAUAGUGAGCAAGAUCAGUUGUAUCAAUUGCUUAAGAGACCCUUUCCAAAGUAAUCAACUUUUAGGCAGAUCUGCAGUCAAUAGGAGAGCAUGAUAACAUUAGGUUAGAUGCAGACAUAGACUACAUUGAUGCAGACACCCUCAGAAUACUAGACAAAGUUAGCUAGCCAAUGUUUCUGCAUAUAUGCCUAUAUUGCAUAUAUUCCAAUUCAAAUGCUAAUUAGAAAAUGCUAAUGCAAACAUGUAUUUGCAGGUGCAUUUUACUUUUGCCAGCAAUUGUACAUUGUUGUGCACAGAAAGGGAAUUGCAAUUGAAUUUGAUUGAUUACAUGAUUGAUUAAUUUUGGACCAUCAGAGAGCUGAUGAGACUGACCACAGGUGAAUUAUCUUGAUUUUACUCUUCCAGUAAUGACAGUAAUGACAGAUGACCUGACCAUGAAAUAAACCAGCAAAGAAAAAUCAGAGAAAACACGGCAGGGGUGAAGGUAUCACAAGCCACCGUUCAAAGAAGACUUCAAGAGCAGAAAUACAGAGGCUGUACCACAAGAUGCCAACCACCCAACAGCAGAUUGGAAUUCACAUACAGAGAUCGGGGUUGCUGUGGAUCCAGAGCCUAUCCUGAGAACACAGGAUGCAAGUCCGAAGAAAAUUAAAGCUACCUUAGAUGGCUUUCUACAAAAGAAGCAAACCCGUACACCGCAGCAAACGACUGCCCUCAUGGUGUAUAUUCUAAACAUGCUCACCGACAUGAGACCACUCUCCAUGGUUGAUGGUGAAGGGUUUCGAGAAAUGAUUCGCCAGUUCAACCCCGAAUACACCCUUCCAUCCAGAACCCAUUUCACCCACUUGAUGGAAAAGAAAUAUGAGACGAUUGUUC
Molecule: long non-coding RNA, 1893 nt
Organism: Pangasianodon hypophthalmus (striped catfish)
Lineage: Eukaryota; Metazoa; Chordata; Actinopteri; Siluriformes; Pangasiidae
Exons: 4
Source: RefSeq, a predicted model, not a curated record